GACGAACGCUGGCGGCGUGCUUAACACAUGCAAGUCGAACGGAAAGGCCUGUCCUUCCUUGUGUUGGACGGGUACUCGAGUGGCGAACGGGUGAGUAACACGUGAGUGAUCUGCCCCCAACUUGGGUAUAAGCCUGGGAAACUGGGUCUAAUUCCCGAUAGGACUGCAGGGUGGUGCCUGUGGUGGAAAACGAUUUUCUAGUGGUUGGGGAUGAGCUCGCGGCCUAUCAGCUUGUUGGUGGGGUAAUGGCCUACCAAGGCGGCGACGGGUAGCCGGCCUGGGAGGGUGGACGGCCACAUUGGGACUGAGAUACGGCCCAGACUCCUACGGGAGGCAGCAGUGGGGAAUAUUGCACAAUGGGCGGAAGCCUGAUGCAGCGACGCCGCGUGGGGGAUGACGGCCUUCGGGUUGUAAACUCCUUUCGACCGCGAGGAAGCCGCCUGGUUGGAAGGGUGGUGACGGUAGUGGUAGAAGAAGCACCGGCUAACUACGU
This 493-nucleotide ribosomal RNA is filed under the name uncultured bacterium. RNAcentral's name for it is "partial 16S ribosomal RNA". It matches the Rfam family "Bacterial small subunit ribosomal RNA", at positions 28 to 506 of the family's 1533-position model. The record is from RNAcentral.